RNAcentral lists this ribosomal RNA (123 nucleotides) under Mycoplasmoides gallisepticum. RNAcentral's name for it is "Mycoplasma gallisepticum partial 16S ribosomal RNA". It matches the Rfam family "Bacterial small subunit ribosomal RNA", at positions 1329 to 1450 of the family's 1533-position model. The record is from RNAcentral. Lineage: Bacteria; Bacillati; Mycoplasmatota; Mycoplasmoidales; Mycoplasmoidaceae.
GAAUCACUAGUAAUCGCGAAUCAGCCAUGUCGCGGUGAAUACGUUCUCGAGUCUUGUACACACCGCCCGUCAAACUAUGAGAGCUGGUAAUAUCUAAAACCGUGUUGCUAACCGCAAGGAAGC